Molecule: ribosomal RNA, 256 nt
Filed under: uncultured bacterium
Lineage: Bacteria
Description: partial 16S ribosomal RNA
Rfam family: Bacterial small subunit ribosomal RNA
Source: RNAcentral
CGGACUGGUGAGUAACGCGUGAGGAACCUGCCUUUCGGAGGGGGACAACAGUUGGAAACGACUGCUAAUACCGCAUGACGUAUCGGGAUCGCAUGGUCUUGAUACCAAAGAUUUUAUCGCCGAAAGAUGGCCUCGCGUCUGAUUAGCUAGUUGGUGGGGCAACGGCCUACCAAGGCGACGAUCAGUAGCCGGCCUGAGAGGGCGGACGGCCACACUGGGACUGAGACACGGCCCGGACUCCUACGGAAGGCAGCAG